UACGGAGGAUGCGAGCGUUAUCCGGAUUUAUUGGGUUUAAAGGGUGCGUAGGCGGGCAUUUAAGCCGGCGGUCAAAUGUCCGGGCUCAACCCGGGCCGGCCGUUGAAACUGGGGAUCUUGAGUGGGCGAGAAGUAUGCGGAAUGCGUGGUGUAGCGGUGAAAUGCAUAGAUAUCACGCAGAACUCCGAUUGCGAAGGCAGCAUACCGGCGCCCGACUGACGCUGGGGCACGAAAGCGUGGGGAGCAAAUAGG
This 252-nucleotide ribosomal RNA is filed under the name uncultured Bacteroidales bacterium. RNAcentral's name for it is "partial 16S ribosomal RNA". It matches the Rfam family "Bacterial small subunit ribosomal RNA", at positions 524 to 776 of the family's 1533-position model. Lineage: Bacteria; Pseudomonadati; Bacteroidota; Bacteroidia; Bacteroidales. The record is from RNAcentral.